GAGGGUGUAGCUCAAGUGGUAGAGCACAUGCCUAGCAUACAUAAGGUCCUGGGUUCAAUCCCCAGCACCCCCU
RNAcentral lists this transfer RNA (73 nucleotides) under Camelus ferus (Wild Bactrian camel). It matches the Rfam family "tRNA". Rfam says of the family: Transfer RNA (tRNA) molecules are approximately 80 nucleotides in length. Their secondary structure includes four short double-helical elements and three loops (D, anti-codon, and T loops). The record is from Rfam by way of RNAcentral. Lineage: Eukaryota; Metazoa; Chordata; Mammalia; Artiodactyla; Camelidae.